This 376-nucleotide ribosomal RNA is filed under the name uncultured archaeon. RNAcentral's name for it is "bacterial SSU rRNA". It matches the Rfam family "Archaeal small subunit ribosomal RNA", at positions 350 to 727 of the family's 1478-position model. The record is from RNAcentral.
UUGCAAUGUGCGAAAGCACGACAAGGUUAAUCCGAGUGGUUUCUGCUAAAGAAACCUUUUGUCAGUCCUCGAAACCCUAACGAAUAAGGGGUGGGCAAGUUCUGGUGUCAGCCGCCGCGGUAAAACCAGCACCUCAAGUGGUCAGGAUGAUUAUUGGGCCUAAAGCAUCCGUAGCUCGUUUUGUAAGUUUUCGGUUAAAUCCAUACGCUUAACGUAUGGGCUGCCGGGAAUACUGCAUAACUAGGAAGUGGGAGAGGUAGACGGUACUCGGUAGGAAGGGGUAAAAUCCUUUGAUCUAUUGAUGACCACCUGUGGCGAAGGCGGUCUACCAGAACACGUUCGACGGUGAGGGAUGAAAGCUGGGGGAGCAAACCGG